Molecule: ribosomal RNA, 293 nt
Filed under: uncultured bacterium
Lineage: Bacteria
Description: partial 16S ribosomal RNA
Rfam family: Bacterial small subunit ribosomal RNA
Source: RNAcentral
GUGCCAGCAGCCGCGGUAAUACGUAGGGUGCAAGCGUUGUCCGGAUUUAUUGGGCGUAAAGAGCUCGUAGGCGGCUUGGCAAGUCGGGUGUGAAAACUCCAGGCUCAACCUGGAGAUGCCACCCGAUACUGCUAUGGCUUGAGUCUGGUAGGGGAGCACGGAAUUCCUGGUGUAGCGGUGAAAUGCGCAGAUAUCAGGAGGAACACCGGUGGCGAAGGCGGUGCUCUGGGCCAGUACUGACGCUGAGGAGCGAAAGCGUGGGGAGCAAACAGGAUUAGAUACCCCCGUAGUCC